Molecule: ribosomal RNA, 460 nt
Filed under: uncultured bacterium
Lineage: Bacteria
Description: partial 16S ribosomal RNA
Rfam family: Bacterial small subunit ribosomal RNA
Source: RNAcentral
CCUACGGGAGUCAGCAGUGAGGAAUAUUGGUCAAUGGACGGAAGUCUGAACCAGCCAUGCCGCGUGCAGGAAGACGGCCCUAUGAGUUGUAAACUGCUUUUGUACAAGGGUAAACCUGAAUACGUGUAUUCAGCUGAAAGUACUGUAAGAAUAAGGAUCGGCUAACUCCGUGCCAGCAGCCGCGGUAAUACGGAGGAUCCAAGCGUUAUCCGGAUUUAUUGGGUUUAAAGGGUGCGUAGGCGGGUUGAUAAGUCAGAGGUGAAAUGUCCGGGCUUAAUACGUGAACUGCCUCUAAUAAUGUUGAAAUAGAGAGUAGAUGCGGUAGGCGGAAUGGAUGGUGUAGCGGUGAAAUGCUUAGAGAGCAUAGAGAACACCGAUUGCGAAGGCAGCUUACCAAUCUAUAUCUGACGUUGAGGCACGAAAGCGUGGGGAGCAAACAGGAUUAGAUACCCGGGUAGUC